AUUGAACGCUGGCGGCAUGCCUUACACAUGCAAGUCGAACGGUAACAGGUUAAGCUGACGAGUGGCGAACGGGUGAGUAAUAUAUCGGAACGUGCCCAGUCGUGGGGGAUAACGUAGCGAAAGCUACGCUAAUACCGCAUACGAUCUACGGAUGAAAGCGGGGGAUCGCAAGACCUCGCGCGAUUGGAGCGGCCGAUAUCAGAUUAGGUUGUUGGUGAGGUAAAAGCUCACCAAGCCUGCGAUCUGUAGCUGGUCUGAGAGGACGACCAGCCACACUGGGACUGAGACACGGCCCAGACUCCUACGGGAGGCAGCAGUGGGGAAUUUUGGACAAUGGGCGAAAGCCUGAUCCAGCAAUGCCGCGUGUGUGAAGAAGGCCUUCGGGUUGUAAAGCACUUUUGUCCGGAAAGAAAUGGCUCUGGUUAAUACCUGGGGUCGAUGACGGUACCGGAAGAAUAAGGACCGGCUAACUACGUGCCAGCAGCCGCCGUAA
Molecule: ribosomal RNA, 493 nt
Filed under: uncultured bacterium
Lineage: Bacteria
Description: partial 16S ribosomal RNA
Rfam family: Bacterial small subunit ribosomal RNA
Source: RNAcentral